GAGUCCCUUCAAGUCCUAUUUUUUUUUAAUUUUAUGGAAUUUCGAAUUGAUUUGGGUAUUUUUGAAACUCCUAACUAUUUUAGGGAUCUAAUGUGUGAAAAAUUGGGGAUUGAAAUUGUGUUUUGGAAAAUUAACUCAUCGAGAUGUAAAUUAUAUAAUAUCCAAACAUCUGGGUUAUGUAUGCUAUAUUGUGAAUCUCAUGAGCAUCUAUAUCUCAUUGCCCGAUUGCUAGUUUGAAGAAUUAUCUCUUUGGUCGUUUUGAGGGGCACUGGGUUU
This 276-nucleotide long non-coding RNA is filed under the name Panax ginseng (ginseng). RNAcentral's name for it is "long non-coding RNA (PGIN_LNC013821)". Lineage: Eukaryota; Viridiplantae; Streptophyta; Magnoliopsida; Apiales; Araliaceae. The record is from RNAcentral.